Rhodocollybia butyracea is the source of this 97-nucleotide non-coding RNA. Lineage: Eukaryota; Fungi; Basidiomycota; Agaricomycetes; Agaricales; Omphalotaceae. The record is from the annotation of a GenBank genome assembly.
GGCCGACUAGCUCAGUUGGUUAGAGCGUCGUGCUAAUAUAGUAAAUCGUUUCAUGUGUAUUACGCGAAGGUCUUGGGUUCGAUCCCCACGUUGGCCA